AGGACGAACGCUGGCGGCGUGCUUAACACAUGCAAGUCGAGCGGUAAGGCCUUUCGGGGUACACGAGCGGCGAACGGGUGAGUAACACGUGGGUGAUCUGCCCUGCACUCUGGGAUAAGCCUGGGAAACUGGGUCUAAUACCGGAUAUGACCUGCUCUCGCAGUGGGGGUGGUGGAAAGAUUUAGUCGGUGCAGGAUGGGCCCGCGGCCUAUCAGCUUGGUUGGUGGGUAAUGGCCUACGAAGGCGACGACGGGUAGCCGACUGAGAGGGUCGACCGGCCACGACGUGGGACUGA
Molecule: ribosomal RNA, 295 nt
Filed under: uncultured soil bacterium
Lineage: Bacteria
Description: partial 16S ribosomal RNA
Rfam family: Bacterial small subunit ribosomal RNA
Source: RNAcentral